Molecule: transfer RNA, 71 nt
Filed under: uncultured Anaerotignum sp.
Lineage: Bacteria; Bacillati; Bacillota; Clostridia; Lachnospirales; Anaerotignaceae
Rfam family: tRNA
About the family: Transfer RNA (tRNA) molecules are approximately 80 nucleotides in length. Their secondary structure includes four short double-helical elements and three loops (D, anti-codon, and T loops). Further hydrogen bonds mediate the characteristic L-shaped molecular structure. tRNAs have two regions of fundamental functional importance: the anti-codon, which is responsible for specific mRNA codon recognition, and the 3' end, to which the tRNAs corresponding amino acid is attached (by aminoacyl-tRNA synthetases). tRNAs cope with the degeneracy of the genetic code in two manners: having more than one tRNA (with a specific anti-codon) for a particular amino acid; and 'wobble' base-pairing, i.e. permitting non-standard base-pairing at the 3rd anti-codon position.
Source: RNAcentral
GGGGUUUAGCUCAGCUGGGAGAGCACCUGCCUUGCAAGCAGGGGGUCACGAGUUCGAAUCUCGUAAUCUCC